Molecule: transfer RNA, 71 nt
Filed under: Ipomoea nil (Japanese morning glory)
Lineage: Eukaryota; Viridiplantae; Streptophyta; Magnoliopsida; Solanales; Convolvulaceae
Rfam family: tRNA
About the family: Transfer RNA (tRNA) molecules are approximately 80 nucleotides in length. Their secondary structure includes four short double-helical elements and three loops (D, anti-codon, and T loops).
Source: Rfam by way of RNAcentral
GCACCAGUGGUCUAGUGGUAGAGUAGUACCCUUCCACGGUACAAACCUGGGUUUGAUUCUCGGCGAAUGCG